GACGAACGCUGGCGGCGUGCUUAACACAUGCAAGUCGAACGGAAAGGCCCUGCUUUUGUGGGGUGCUCGAGUGGCGAACGGGUGAGUAACACGUGAGUAACCUGCCCUUGACUUUGGGAUAACUUCAGGAAACUGGGGCUAAUACCGGAUAGGAGCUCCUGCUGCAUGGUGGGGGUUGGAAAGUUUCGGCGGUUGGGGAUGGACUCGCGGCUUAUCAGCUUGUUGGUGGGGUAGUGGCUUACCAAGGCUUUGACGGGUAGCCGGCCUGAGAGGGUGACCGGCCACAUUGGGACUGAGAUACGGCCCAGACUCCUACGGGAGGCAACAGUGGGGAAUAUUGCACAAUGGGCGGAAGCCUGAUGCAGCAACGCCGCGUGCGGGAUGACGGCCUUCGGGGUGUAAACCGCUUUCGCCUGUGACGAAGCGUGAGUGACGGUAAUGGGUAAAGAAGCACCGGCUAACUACGUG
This 468-nucleotide ribosomal RNA is filed under the name uncultured bacterium. RNAcentral describes it as "partial 16S ribosomal RNA". It matches the Rfam family "Bacterial small subunit ribosomal RNA", at positions 28 to 507 of the family's 1533-position model. The record is from RNAcentral.